CCAUAUCACCCUGCAGCCCAAGACUGGUUGCCCACUGAAGCUAAGCAGGGUUGAGCCUGGUCAGUACCUGGAUGGGAGACCUCAUAUAUUUGGUAG
RNAcentral lists this ribosomal RNA (96 nucleotides) under Sinocyclocheilus grahami. The record is from RNAcentral. Lineage: Eukaryota; Metazoa; Chordata; Actinopteri; Cypriniformes; Cyprinidae.